UAGGAGAGUUUCAUAAACACCGGAGCCAGCUAAUUUGUUUCGUCUCUGAGAACGAACUCAAGAAAUGGACUGAGGCAGCAGAGAGAAAUAAAAAAUGGGGGAAUUCUCUGAGGGUUGUUGCCCUCUCUCUGCAUGCCAAUGAUUUCAUUCAAAUCGAAAGAAAAACUAACAACCCUUCUCAGUUUUUAAGUACUCAUGCGUGUAUUUAUGUGUAUAUAUAUAUAUAUCUGUAUGUGAUCUCUGGGGCGGUGGAUCUCUGGUUAUUGCUAAUAUGGAAUACUGGCUUCUACUUCACAUUUCCAACACCACCUUUACCAAUGCAAUCUCCUUUUUUAUCUCAGACUUAGCUCCUUUCCACUGUUAUAGGCUGUGACGAUCGAAUUCGAUUGCUCUUGGGUUCAUCUGGGCAUUGAGGUUAUUCGACCCGCAUCUUGGCGGGGCAACCCGGAUGGCCUGUGGAUUGAUUUUGGGCAACUGUGGUUUUGCAGCCAUGGCGGUGUCUCUCCUUCUUUGCCUGAUUACAUCACGGAUCUGAGCCUUACUUAUAUCCACAUUUUAAAAAUAAAUAUCCACACGGGGCGGACACGAAGCUCAAUGCUUUCAGGUCAGCCCGCACCAUUUCUUUGAUUGGCUAUGGCUUUUCUCCCAUUGAGGAUUGAGACAAUAAGCAAUUGGCAGGUUUUACGUCCUUCAUGUCUAGUUUAAAGGUUUUUUGAAAAAAAAAAUGAAGAAAGAAAAAGAGGGAAGAGGAAGGGCAAAUUGAUAAUCUUAAUUAAAUAAUGUGACUUUUAUUUUAUGUCUUGGGCACUAAGUUUGGUCUUUUAAUUUUAAGAAAAUGAAAAAAAUUAUAAUAA
This is a long non-coding RNA of Coffea eugenioides, 854 nucleotides long. RefSeq lists it as uncharacterized. The record is from RefSeq and is a predicted model, not a curated record. Lineage: Eukaryota; Viridiplantae; Streptophyta; Magnoliopsida; Gentianales; Rubiaceae. The transcript has 2 exons.